This 110-nucleotide non-coding RNA is filed under the name Bacillus sp. (in: firmicutes). RNAcentral's name for it is "Bacillus sp. TPP sequence". It matches the Rfam family "TPP riboswitch aptamer (THI element)". From Rfam's summary of the family: Vitamin B(1) in its active form thiamin pyrophosphate (TPP) is an essential coenzyme that is synthesised by coupling of pyrimidine and thiazole moieties in bacteria. The previously detected thiamin-regulatory element, thi box was extended, resulting in a new, highly conserved RNA secondary structure, the THI element, which is widely distributed in eubacteria and also occurs in some archaea. The record is from RNAcentral. Lineage: Bacteria; Bacillati; Bacillota; Bacilli; Caryophanales; Bacillaceae.
UCAUUCUGCUGGGGGAGUCCAUGAUGCUGGACUGAGAAAAGAACGCGAGUCUUUGACCCUUUGAACCUGAUCUGGAUGAUACCAGCGUAGGGAAGCGGUGUGGCGUAGGC